RNAcentral lists this ribosomal RNA (207 nucleotides) under uncultured bacterium. RNAcentral describes it as "partial 16S ribosomal RNA". It matches the Rfam family "Bacterial small subunit ribosomal RNA", at positions 568 to 774 of the family's 1533-position model. The record is from RNAcentral.
CACGCAGGCGGUCUUUUAAGUUUGACGUGAAAGCUCCCGGCUUAACUGGGAGAGGUCGUUGAAGACUGGAAGACUUGAGGCAAUGAGAGGGGUGUAGAAUUCCCGGUGUAGUGGUGGAAUGCGUAGAUAUCGGGGGGAAUACCAGUGGCGAAAGCGGCACCCUAGCGUUAGCCUGACGCUCAUGUGCGAAAGCGUGGGGAGCGAACG